GAUUAAUUGAAAAGGGCUUUUGGUGGAUGCCUUGGCAUCAAGAGGCGAUGAAGGAGGCGGAAGACUGCCAUAAGCUUCGGGGAGCUGUCAAUCAAGCAAUGAUCCGAAGAUGUCCGAAUGGGGAAACCCUUCUUGGCAAACCCAAGAAAUCUUUAUCUGAAUAUAUAGGGUAAAGAGGCGAACGGCAUGAACUGAAACAUCUAAGUAGUGCCAGGAAUAUAAAACAACGUGAUUCCCUGAGUAGUGGUGAGCGAAAUGGGAAGAGCCUAAAUUAUUGUUACGUGAUAGCCUGCAAGCGUUGUAACAAUAGCGUAGUGGGAUGUAAUGUUUGAGGAUUGCAGUCCUCGACUUAAGACUUUUUACUCUAGUUGAACGCUCUGGGAUGGGCGACUAAAGAAGGUGACAGUCCUGUAAACUAAAGACUAAAAAGAUUAAGAUUAUUCUCCCGAGUACCAUAGAGCACGUGAAAUUCUGUGGGAAUCUGUCCGGACCAUCGGAUAAGGCUAAAUACUCCUUGAUGACCGAUAGUGAACAAGUACCGUGAGGGAAAGGUGAAAAGAACCCCGGGAGGGGAGUGAAAUAGAAACUGAAACCAAUUGUCUAUAAGCGGUGGAAGCGGGAUAUACGUAUCCGCAACCACGUACCUUUUGCAUAAUGAGCCAACGAGUUAUGGUGUGUUGCAAGGUUAAGUUUUGAAAGAACGGAGCCGUAGCGAAAGCGAGUCUGAAUAGGGCGACAAGUAACACGACAUAGACCCGAAACCUAGUGAGCUAUCCAUGUCCAGGGUGAAAUCUCAGUUACAUGAGAUGGAGGCCCGAACCGGUGUGGGUUGAAAACUGCUCGGAUGAGGUGUGGAUAGGAGUGAAAGGCUAAUCAAACUGGGAAAUAGCUGGUUCUCCCCGAAAUAUAUUUAGGUAUAGCCUUGUUGAAUCCGCAAUGGUGGUAAAGCACAGUUGAAGCUUUGGGGGCGCAAGCCUACCAGGCCUUUACUAACUCUGAAUGCCGUUGCGUUAGAAGACAGGAGACAGACUGUGGGGGAUAAGCUUCAUAGUCGAGAGGGAAACAGCCCAGACCAUCAGCUAAGGUCCUUAAGUAUUCGUUAAGUGGUUAAAGAAGUGAAAAUGCUUAGACAGCCAGGAGGUUGGCUUAGAAGCAGCCAUCCUUUAAAGAAAGCGUAAUAGCUCACUGGUAUAGUGUUUUUGCGCUGAAAAACGAACGGGGCUAAACGAAUCACCGAAGCUAUGGCUUGUACAUUUAUUUGUACAGGGGUAGGGGAGCGUUCUCUGAUAGAUACAAGUUUGACCGUAAGGACAAAUGUGGAUCAGAGAAGUGAAUAUGUUGGUAUAAGUAACGAAAAAAUAGGUGAAAUUCCUAUUCGCCGUAAGCCUAAGGUUUCCGUGAGAACGGUUCAUCCACUCAGGGUUAGUCGAUCCCUAAGCCGAGGCCAAUUGGAGUAGGCGAUGGAAAACAGGUACAAUAUUCCUGUACCACUUAUGAGCGUUUGAGCGAGGGAGUGACGCAGAAAGGUAGGUUAACUUGGCGCAUGGAUGCCAAGCUAAAUGUAAAGAGGUGCUUUAUAGGUAAAUCCGUAGAGCAACAAUCCUUGAAACAUGAUGGGUAUAUCGAUCCGUAAGGAAAGAUGUAUUUGACUGAUCCUACGCUGACUAGAAAAACUUCUAGCGAGCUUUAUGAGUGAUCGUACCGCAAACUGACACAGGUAGGCAGGUAGAGAAUACUAAGGCGUUGAGAUAACUAUCAUUAAGGAACUCGGCAAAAUGGCCCCGUAACUUCGGGAUAAGGGGUGCCUGUCACGUUAUUUGAGUUCGCUCAGAAAAGCGUGCAACAGGUUUCAACAAAGAGGCCCAACCGACUGUUUAACAAAAACACAAGGCUCUGCAAACUCGUAAGAGGAAGUAUAGAGUCUGACGCCUGCCCAGUGCUGGAAGGUUAAUAAGAGAGGUUAGCUCGCAAGAGCGAAGCUUUGAAUUGAAGCCCCAGUAAACGGCGGCCGUAACUAUAACGGUCCUAAGGUAGCGAAGUACCUUGUCGGGUAAAUUCCGACGCGCAUGAAUGGCGUAACGAGUUGGGCGCUGUCUUGAUGAUAGACUCAGUGAAUUUGUAGUACCGGUGAAAAUGCCGGUUACCCGCGGAAGGACGGAAAGACCCCGUGCACCUUUACUAUAGCUUGACAUUGAUUUUUGGAUUAAUUUGUGUAGGAUAGGCGGGAGGCUUUGAAGUCACGGCGCUAGCUGUGAUGGAGCCAACCUUGAAAUACCGCCCUUAUUGGUUUGAAAAUCUAACUUUGUCCCGUAAUCCGGGUAGAAGACAGUGUCUGGUGGGUAGUUUGACUGGGGUGGUCGCCUCCUAAAUUGUAACGGAGGCGUUCAAAGGUUCCCUCAUGACGAAUAGAAAUCGUCUGUAGAGCGCAAAGGCAAAAGGGAGCUUGACUGUGAGACAUACAGGUCGAACAGGUGCGAAAGCAGGACUUAGUGAUCCAGUGGUUCCACAUGGAAGGGCCAUUGCUAAACGGAUAAAAGGUACGCCGGGGAUAACAGGCUGAUCUCCUCUGAGAGUCCACAUCGACGAGGAGGUUUGGCACCUCGAUGUCGGAUCAUCGCAUCCUGGGGGCGGAGAAGUUCCCAAGGGUUUGGCUGUUCGCCAAUUAAAGCGGUACGUGAUCUGGGUUCAGAACGUCGCAAGACAGUUCGGUCCUUAUCCUCCGUGGGCGCAGGGUAUUUGAGGAGGGCUGUCCCUAGUACGAGAGGACCGGGAUGGGCAGACAGAUGGUGUUCCAAUUGUUUACCACAAGCAGCGUUGGGUAGCCAAGUCUGUAAGAGAUAACCGCUGAAAGCAUCUAAGUGGGAAACUCGCUCCAAGAUAAGAUACCCCGUAUCAGAGAGAUCUGAUACAUUAAGACCCCUUGAAGACUACGAGGUUGAUAGGUUGGGUGUGUAAGUACAGUAAUGUGUUUAGCUAACCAAUACUAAUAGGUCGAAAGUUUUAAUUAC
This is a ribosomal RNA of 3008 nucleotides. It matches the Rfam family "Bacterial large subunit ribosomal RNA". The record is from Rfam.